GGUUAGCCGCGGGCACUUCGGCCAGACGCUGCGUGAUGGCACAGCGGCGGCGCCUAGUCCGCCGCCGGGCGCCAACGACUCCGAGGUGAAGGGGGCGAUAGUGUUCACGUUGGUGCUCAUGGCGAUCCUGGGCGGCACACUCAGCGUGGUCGCCCUUGAGCGCCUCAUCCGCGGCCGCUUCACCCUCUUCUCCGUCGUGCGCACCCUGUUGCGCUCCACCUUCGUCCUCUUCCUCCCCCUGCUCUCCUACUUGUUCUCCCACUCGCAGGGGCACCAGGAGGAGCUCCUCUUCUUGCUCCUGUGGAUGCUCCUCAUCGAGCUCAUCCGCAAGAAGGUGCACGCAAUGGUGCAGUCGUCCGCCGAUGGCUCCUUCUCCAGGGCCUCCGGCCGGUUCCGGCUCAUGGACCACUCUGAUGAGGCUACUCGCCUGGUUUGGAUCGGCUACCUCAUGUACUCAAACAUCGACACAAAUGAUGAUAAGGGACAGAUGGGGGCACUCUUCGUCAUCCUAUGGUCACUGGCCCUGGCGAAGCUAGGGCAAAGGGUGCUCAACAAAUGGAUGGCACAGGACUCGCUGACGGCAGCGGGAAACACUCACCUCAUUGCAGGCUACAUGCAGCAUAUCAUAUAGGAGCACGGUAGAUCCCCUUACCCUUAUGGCGACAUUACCAAGUGCAAGUACAUGGUGAUGGGAGAGGAGAAGCUCAUGCUCAAGACAAAGGAUAGGAGAAAAGAGGAUGGGCCAUGGAGGAAUUCUGAUCCCAAGGUACGACGGACCACCUUACACUUUGGCUACGGCGUCGGGAGGUUCCCUGAUGGCCAAGAUGUCCAGAAGCACGUUCAUCUGCUCAUUGACGCCAGCAAGAUCAAGGACUUGGUGACCGUAAAGACCAUAUUGGAGAAAAUACCAACUUUUGAACUAUGCUGCUUCAGCACCAAGAGGUGGCGACGCCUAUGCCUCGGCUUCUCUCUAUUCAAGCUGAUGCGACGGCGGUUCGAGCACUAUCCCAUGGUUGAGGUUGGCUCAGAGAUGGCACGAGGGAUAAUGCUCCAUGGCCUACUCGCCCUCGAGGGAGAGAGCAACGUGGAAGACAACGCCCAUGCGGUAUUUCGGGUGCUCCAGCUAGAGCUCGACUUCCUCGACAACUACUACCAGGACGGCGUCCUGGUUGUGAUGUCCGCUCCUUGGCUUUUCAUCUUCAACUUCUUCUUCUCCAUCCUCUUCGUCUUGAUAUACAUCCUAGCCAUCUUUGCCAUCGUGGUCACUUACGACGCCAUCUUUGCCAUCGUGGUCACUUACGACGGCAACAAAACCCUGCUUCUUUACUUCAUCAUCGCCCUGCUGCUGGUGAUGGCCAUCCUUGCCAUUGAAGUCACGGAGUUCCUCACCUUAUAUCUUCUCUCCAACUGGUUCCUAGUGCACCUGCUAUGCUUGUACAUAGCUCCGGGGAACUGCCUUUGGAACUGGCUGUUCAAGCCGAUCAUUGGCUGCUUCAUUGUAGCACGCUUCUUGGUGGUGCCUGCACUUGGCCUCAUAUUUAGACUUUUGUGCAGACCUGUUAAUACCAAGAACAUCAAGAUUAGGCAGGUGUCCAUUCUCCAAGUUUGUGAGCCAGUCCACAAAAUGCUAGCAUGGACCUCUCAGGCCACACUACCAGCCAAGGCCAAGGUUGACAUCGUCAAGGCCUUGAAGAGCAUCAACCCCGGCACUUACAAUGUUUCACUACCACAGAUACAUGGCCUCCACAGUCUUGGUAAGACUUCUACGGAGAUCAUCCUACAAUGUCACCUAGCCACGGAGCUCCUGGACAUGCAUGUAAAGCGAGCAAAGGACAACAGCAAGAAGAAGAAGAAGAAGAUCGACGAGGAAAACGACCACCGAAUUGUGACAACGAGACUAUCGAGAUACUGCAUGUACCUUGUGGCACGCACACCGGAGCUUCUGCCGGACAAUGAGAUCUGGGUAUCAGACAGGUAUGAUGACAUGAGAAGCUGUCUGAAGAAAGUGUCAAGCCGGUGCUUCUGCGGCUUGCCCUGGCAAGCGCUGCUCGACAUGGACGCUGAAUCAACGGAGCGUCUCCAAGACCCAACGGCGCGGGAUGGCGUGAAGUUGUUUCAGAGGCGCAGGGAGUGCGCUGACAAGGACAAGGGCAGGAUGUGGGAGGAAAUGGCCCAAUUCUGGGUCGACCUCAUUAUUUACCUGGCCCCGUCCAAUGACGUCGAAGGUCAUGCCAAGGCACUGGCGUCGUCAGGCGGCGACCUCAUCACUUGCCUCUGGGCGUUUUGCACUCAUGCAGGUAUUAGUCGACCUCGAACCCCCAUCACCGAUGCCAAUCAAGAGGUGUGA
This 2347-nucleotide ribosomal RNA is filed under the name Triticum aestivum (bread wheat). RNAcentral describes it as "partial small subunit ribosomal RNA". The record is from RNAcentral. Lineage: Eukaryota; Viridiplantae; Streptophyta; Magnoliopsida; Poales; Poaceae.